Molecule: ribosomal RNA, 253 nt
Filed under: uncultured bacterium
Lineage: Bacteria
Description: partial 16S ribosomal RNA
Rfam family: Bacterial small subunit ribosomal RNA
Source: RNAcentral
GACGAACCGAGCGAACGUUGUUCGGAAUCACUGGGCUUAAAGGGCGCGUAGGCGGCUCUUCAAGUCGGGGGUGAAAUCCCACAGCUUAACUGUGGAAGUGCCUUCGAUACUGAGGAGCUCGAGCGAGGUAGGGGCCGAGGGAACUUCUGGUGGAGCGGUGAAAUGCGUUGAUAUCAGAAGGAACGCCGGUGGCGAAAGCGCUCGGCUGGACCUCUUCUGACGCUGAGGCGCGAAAGCUAGGGGAGCAAACGGG